This 433-nucleotide ribosomal RNA is filed under the name uncultured bacterium. RNAcentral describes it as "bacterial SSU rRNA". It matches the Rfam family "Bacterial small subunit ribosomal RNA", at positions 29 to 507 of the family's 1533-position model. The record is from RNAcentral.
AGCGAACGCUGGCGGCAGGCUUAACACAUGCAAGUCGAACGGGCACUUCGGUGUCAGUGGCAGACGGGUGAGUAACACGUGGGAACGUACCUUUUGGUUCGGAACAACUGAGGGAAACUUCAGCUAAUACCGGAUAAGCCCUUACGGGGAAAGAUUUAUCGCCGAAAGAUCGGCCCGCGUCUGAUUAGCUAGUUGGUAGGGUAAUGGCCUACCAAGGCGACGAUCAGUAGCUGGUCUGAGAGGAUGAUCAGCCACAUUGGGACUGAGACACGGCCCAAACUCCUACGGGAGGCAGCAGUGGGGAAUAGUGGACAAUGGGGGCAACCCUGAUCCAGCCAUGCCGCGUGAGUGAUGAAGGCCCUAGGGUUGUAAAGCUCUUUUGUGCGGGAAGAUAAUGACGGUACCGCAAGAAUAAGCCCCGGCUAACUUCGUG